AUAUAUGUUAAGUGGAAAAGGAUGUGGCGUUGCCCAGACAACUAGGAUGUUGGCUUAGAAGCAGCCAUCAUUUAAAGAGUGCGUAAUAGCUCACUAGUCGAGUGACACUGCGCCGAAAAUGUACCGGGGCUAAACAUAUUACCGAAGCUGUGGAUUGUCCUUUGGACAAUGGUAGGAGAGCGUUCUAAGGGCGUUGAAGCAUGAUCGUAAGGACAUGUGGAGCGCUUAGAAGUGAGAAUGCCGGUGUGAGUAGCGAAAGACGGGUGAGAAUCCCGUCCACCGAUUGACUAAGGUUUCCAGAGGAAGGCUCGUCCGCUCUGGGUUAGUCGGGUCCUAAGCUGAGGCCGACAGGCGUAGGCGAUGGAUAACAGGUUGAUAUUCCUGUACCACCUAUAAUCGUUUUAAUCGAUGGGGGGACGCAGUAGGAUAGGCGAAGCGUGCGAUUGGAUUGCACGUCUAAGCAGUAAGGCUGAGUAUUAGGCAAAUCCGGUACUCGUUAAGGCUGAGCUGUGAUGGGGAGAAGACAUUGUGUCUUCGAGUCGUUGAUUUCACACUGCCGAGAAAAGCCUCUAGAUAGAAAAUAGGUGCCCGUACCGCAAACCGACACAGGUAGUCAAGAUGAGAAUUCUAAGGUGAGCGAGCGAACUCUCGUUAAGGAACUCGGCAAAAUGACCCCGUAACUUCGGGAGAAGGGGUGCUCUUUAGGGUUAACGCCCAGAAGAGCCGCAGUGAAUAGGCCCAAGCGACUGUUUAUCAAAAACACAGGUCUCUGCUAA
This 776-nucleotide ribosomal RNA is filed under the name Staphylococcus aureus. RNAcentral's name for it is "partial 23S ribosomal RNA". It matches the Rfam family "Bacterial large subunit ribosomal RNA", at positions 1052 to 1829 of the family's 2925-position model. Lineage: Bacteria; Bacillati; Bacillota; Bacilli; Caryophanales; Staphylococcaceae. The record is from RNAcentral.